Molecule: non-coding RNA, 496 nt
Organism: Clarias gariepinus (North African catfish)
Lineage: Eukaryota; Metazoa; Chordata; Actinopteri; Siluriformes; Clariidae
Source: the annotation of a RefSeq genome assembly
AUGCGCGAGUUUCUUCGUAUAAAAACAACAAACAGAAUUCAGCUCGAAACUGCUAAACCCCGACACACAAGUGUGACAGAGGUUUUUGUACGACGGCUUCAUUGGAAUGUAUCACUGUGGUACACUUUUGGUGGCGGCUCCAAACUCAUUAUAAGAACUGGUCCGGUGGUGAAGCCCUCCGUGUCUCUGCUCCCUCCCUCCUCUCUGCAGCUCUCUGAGGGAUCGGCCUCACUGUUCUGCCUGCUCUCAGCCUAUUCUCCACAGGGGGCGCUGCUGACCUGGACCGUGGAUGGUGCCGAGGUAAACGAGGGGAUUGUUACCAGCACAGAAGAACAGAAGAACGGCUUCUACAGCCGCAGCAGCACCCUGACCCUCAGCAAAGAACGCUGGGAAGAGGCCGAGGUGUUUGGCUGUACCGUCUCCUACCACGACACGACUCAGAUCACCUCGUUCCGAAAGAGUCGCUGUGACGCUCACUAGAAAUCAAGUGUACACU